Non-coding RNA from Geopyxis carbonaria, 118 nucleotides. The record is from the annotation of a GenBank genome assembly. Lineage: Eukaryota; Fungi; Ascomycota; Pezizomycetes; Pezizales; Tarzettaceae.
UCUUUGGUAGUAUAGUGGUUAGUAUACCCGCCUGUCAAAACACGAAGUCCCCCCCUUGAUGGAGUGUCUUUGUGUGUACUGCACGCGGGUGACCGGGGUUCAAUUCCCCGCCAGAGAG